Daphnia carinata is the source of this 1291-nucleotide long non-coding RNA. RefSeq lists it as uncharacterized. The record is from RefSeq and is a predicted model, not a curated record. Lineage: Eukaryota; Metazoa; Arthropoda; Branchiopoda; Diplostraca; Daphniidae. The transcript has 5 exons.
CCUUUACCAAUUCACAAGUGCCUUGCUCAUCGCUCUUCGGGAAUAAUUUUUACUAAUUCAAAAAAAGGAUUAAAAUUAACUGCAGGGGGACAGAACACGACAUCCAGUUGUUGCCGAUUAAGGCUUAUCACAGGAGUGCGCCCACCGUUUAUGUCGUAUAAGAUUCAGAUUGCCAAGAUGCACAAGUCCUAUUACUGCCUCUUUUCGAUGCGUGAAACCUGCAUUCCUUACGUGCCCAUGCUUAAUCGUUACCCACACUGACUGCUAGUGACCUACCUAGUUAUGCCAAAAUGGAAGUUGAUUGUGGCCUCUGCUUCCCUGGAAAACUUGGCAGGCCAAAGAUACUUCAUUAAGUGUUACCCUGUAACCAGCCGGUUGUUUUUUUUUUGCAACAAACGUUAUCGAACAGCUUUGAUACAUUCGGCUGAAGUUGACACCCACAAUUUUUCCUCCGCUACUAUCACACAAUCUCCUCUAAGAUAUCUUCUGUAGAUUCAUGGAGAUUUUGAUUACUUCCCAACAUCGGUUGGUCAGCUGGCAUCAAUAUGUUCGUCUCGGUUACGGUCGUUGGACGUGACUCUUGGACACCCGAAGUUUCUGAGUUGAAAUUUAAACGAGCGAGCAACAUACAUAUGACGAAGAUGACUACUAUCAUCAAGAUUAACAGUCCAGCCAUUGUCCGACUUAAUACGACUAAAACUGGAUCAUCUGUUUCAGGCAAUAACUGUUCACCAACAAAAAGUUUAAAAUGUUGUCUUAUCAAAUCAAAACUCAAUAUACUUUGUUUUGCAGUACCUGACUAAAAACGACCAAGAGGUUUUUUGCGAAGGACCGUAUGAAAAUGAUUACAACAUUGAGGUUGCUCUUCAUGUUGAAAUGUUUUUCCAGCCUGUUUGUUACACAAAGAAACCAAUUCUCACAAAAUGCCAAAGACUAAAAGUAUCUGCCAACUAAAUGGAGUCGAAUAAAGUUAAUGUAUGCUACCUAUCAGUAUUUUCAGCCUGCCAGCUAUAAAAAAUUUUUAAGAAAGAAACGAUAUAAACGCAGGCAUGUUUAAUUUACCAUGCUAAUAAUUUCGAUUUUUAAUUUUAUCUGUUAAUGUUUCAAAUUCUAUUUUGAAUGAAAGAAAGUUUCCCCAUCCCCAAUAAAUAGUAAAUUUUUAAAAUAAAUGAUUAAUGAAAAAAUGAACAAUAUAUCCAUGCUAUCAACAUAACCUGCUAUACAAUUCCUGGCGAAAGCCGUCCAAAAUGUCUGUUGCAAAAGAACACCGAAAUACAAUUUAAAAGUUUUA